GGUUGGUUUAAUUUCUGUAUUUUAGAAAUUCAAAAGUGUUAAUUUUGACUUACGUCCCAUCUAGAUGGUGUUGCAGGUGGCGACCAGACAAAAGUAAAAACAGAAGAGACGGAAACGUACAUGUCCAUACUUUGCUCACCAUUACCACCGCACUUGUCUCCAUCUUCUUCAGUUCAUGCUCUGACACCUACUGAUAUCGCCACUGUUUAUGCCUUGGGAAUACCAGAUUCAAACAGGGAUGAAGCCUCCAGCAUUAUCAGUAGACUAGCCGAGUUGCUGUC
Molecule: long non-coding RNA, 281 nt
Filed under: Oreochromis niloticus (Nile tilapia)
Lineage: Eukaryota; Metazoa; Chordata; Actinopteri; Cichliformes; Cichlidae
Description: lncRNA (ENSONIG00000036256.1)
Source: RNAcentral